UGGGGAAUAUUGCGCAAUGGCCGAAAGGCUGACGCAGCGACGCCGCGUGUGGGAUGAAGGUCCUCGGAUUCGUAAACCACUGUCGGGAGGGACGAAGGCCCCGCAAGGGGAUUGACGGUACCUCCAAAGGAAGCACCGGCUAACUCCGUGCCAGCAGCCGCGGUAAUACGUAGGGUGCAGGCGUUAAUCGGAAUUACUGGGCGUAAAGCGUGCGCAGGCGGUUUCUUAAGUCAGAUGUGAAAGCCCCGGGCUUAACCUGGGAACUGCGUUUGAAACUGGGAGACUCGAGUGUGGCAGAGGGGGGUGGAAUUCCACGUGUAGCAGUGAAAUGCGUAGAUAUGUGGAGGAACACCGAUGGCGAAGGCAGCCCCCUGGGUCAACACUGACGCUCAUGCACGAAAGCGUGGGGAGCAAACAGGAUUAGAUACCCUGGUAGUCCACGCCCUAAACUAUGUCAACUGGUUGUCGGGGGAUUAAUUCCCUUGGUAACGAAGCUAACGCGUGAAGUUGACCGCCUGGGGAGUACGGCCGCAAGGUUA
RNAcentral lists this ribosomal RNA (539 nucleotides) under uncultured bacterium. Its description in RNAcentral is "bacterial SSU rRNA". It matches the Rfam family "Bacterial small subunit ribosomal RNA", at positions 355 to 896 of the family's 1533-position model. The record is from RNAcentral.